Molecule: long non-coding RNA, 2056 nt
Filed under: Vigna radiata
Lineage: Eukaryota; Viridiplantae; Streptophyta; Magnoliopsida; Fabales; Fabaceae
Description: long non-coding RNA (VRAD_LNC017531)
Source: RNAcentral
CACAGUUAUGCAAAAAUUUUGGGACUCAGCAUUUUCUCUAGAGCCGCCUGAAGAUUUUGACACCCAUAGGUAGGUACCUUGUUAAAUGUAUUCUGUUUUCUAUGUGUUUGUUGAGCUGUUUUUUUGGUCGCACAAAAACACAUGAAACAAAAACACAUGAAAUCUUAGUCCCUACUAAUGAAAAUAUCUUAGUCCCUACUAAUGAAAAUAUAGGACUGACCAGAAAAUCAAUCGAAGGACUUGACAAAAAUUAAGUUUAGGAUGUAGAGUUUAGUCUGAUUUUAUUUAUUAACUAACAAAUUAAUGCAAGGUGGGGACAUUUAAAAGAAUGAAACUAAAAAGGAAAAAUCUAAACUAAAUCUCUUUGAAGAAAGAAAGAAAAUAAAGUAAAAGAAAAGAAAAAGAAAUAGAAAUCUAACUAAUAGGAAAUGAACCUAAAAUGUACAACGAGAUGUGAUAUGAAACCGAACAAAACAGUUAGAAAUAGACAAAAACAGAACCUAUUUAAUAUCUCUACAAAGUAAAAUUCAUUACUCAAAAAAUACAAAUUCAAAUGAAAAGCCAAUAUGAAAUCAAUAGCCGAACUAAUUCAAAGCAUAUUCAACAAACAUAAAAGCUAAGAAACCUAAAUGCUAAAUGAUCAUGAACCUAUAUGAAAUACUAAAAUGAAAUAAUGGGUCUAACCUGGAAAGUGAAAGAAUAAUGCAGUGAAAUAAAAGCUUAAAGUGAAAUGAACCAUGAGUAAAGUACCCAAAAUCUAAAAAAGAUUAAAACUAAAAUCCAAUCUUUAGAACUCUCAAACAGAAAUGAUCAAUUCUAAAACAUUUGGCAAAGGAAGAAAUUUUUAUGGAUGAAGAAUCACUCAAUCAGAAUCUAAAAUUUGGAAAUAAAAGAAAUUCAACUAAAACUAAAAUCAUUCUAACAGAAACACCUACAAAUAUUACUCAAACAAUGAAUCAUUGAUUAAACUCACGAAUUAGAAUCAAAAUUGCAGAGAUUAGUGCACAAAAGUGUUCAUUUACAACUCAGGAAGACGUCCUGUAAAUUUAUAACCACUGUGGGGUUUUUAAGUCCCAAUUUAGAACUUAAAAUGUGUAAAAUUCUAUUCAAUGCACCAAACCGCAGCAAGUUCAACUCUGGUUCAAGUUUGUAACCAAUAUCAGAAGCACAUUCCUAUCCUAAAUGCAAUUAAAAGUUACACCUAAUCUUUAAUGCACCUUUAAAUUCCUAAUAAAAACAAUUGGCAGAAGCAAAUCAUCAUUCUCUACUUGAAUUUCCACAAACAAUCUGGAAUCCAAAAGAACUAACUAAGCUACUUGCAAUCAAUUAAAAAAACCUAAUUAAAAAUUACCUAAACAGAAUUGCCAUCACAUGAACUCAAAAAAUAUACCUAAAAUUGGGUAAAACUUAAUACUGAAACAUAAAAGCAACAUAUGCAUGAAAAAUAGAAUAAACAAUUAGAAUCUAAACGCUGAAACAUAACAAUACCAAAUCAGAAACUGUAAAAUGCACCAAUCAAUUGUCCAGAGGCAUCAGAAUUCAACACAAGCUUCAACUAUCACUAUCAAAGCAAAUAACAACCUAAAGUUACAACUAAAUCAAUAGAAAGCAUGAAAACUGCCUUAACUACAAGGUAAAACCACAAUAGCAAUAAAAAAAUAGAACCAUGGCAACGGAACUGAAAUUUAUUAAAAGGAAAAUGGAAAUUAAACCAAUAGAAUGAAACCGAGACAACCACCCUACGAAGAACGCGUAAAAACCCUAGGAAAACCAAAUCUCUCGAACACACACCUGUACAAAGUCGGUCGUGUCUCUCGUCCAAAAACCCCCUACGCUACGUAUUGUCUAUUUACAUACCCCUUUAUAUAGGGGUCUGAAUCAGAGAAAAAGAAAAUAAAGGAAAAGAACCUUCUUCGCUUUUUCUUCUCAUCCGAUAGUGUCUCUUCUUCACUUUGCUUCCAGCUCCUCUCUGGACCCUUCGAUCAACUCCACCUCACCGCCGAUUAGAGCUUCCCAGAUCUAUUCAUCUUCGUUCUCCUCUGGGCAGCGACACACG